RNAcentral lists this long non-coding RNA (864 nucleotides) under Phasianus colchicus (ring-necked pheasant). Its description in RNAcentral is "lncRNA (ENSPCLG00000001706.1)". The record is from RNAcentral. Lineage: Eukaryota; Metazoa; Chordata; Aves; Galliformes; Phasianidae.
GUUGCAUGUCAGUUUUGGCCCUCAGGAUCAUCUCAAUUACUUUAGUGGUUUUAUGUAGGUUUAGCAAACCUUUGUUUAAAAGGCAAUUCUAAUGAGGUAUAAGAAGAACCCAAGGUAUCUCCUCUUUGUAAUCCAUUUUCUCUCAUUUCCAGAAAGAUAAAAAGAUGUGAGAAGAUAUAUCUUUAGCUCAUAACAGGCUCACAGACUGCCUGUGUCCAGGAGUGGGAGGGCUUUGAGAAACAUUACACUAAAUCUGACAGAGUCUUGUUCACUUUGUUAUGAGCCUGAAAGGAAUGGUUGGCGAAGCAGUCUGAAGUCUACAGCAUCUCCCAGGCUGAUACUGGACUCAUUACAGUUCAUGAAAUGCUCACAGAUUAUGAAUACAGAGACAGUUGUUGAAGAUGAUCAAAAGCACAGAACAGUUUCUAGAUAAAGGGAGUGUGAAGAGAGAAACCACAGAUAUCACAGUUGAGAGUAGAACAGAGAAGCUAAUGGCAGAAGAUCAGACCUGAGGGCAGUUUGGAAACAACAGUGCUCUUCCCAGAGAACUGGAAGUUUUGAGGCCAGUAAGAAAAAAAGAAAUGUCAGGACAGGAAGGAGUUCAGAGAAUUGCAAUAAUUUUGUGAAAGAUUAAUCCAGGGACAUUUCAAAUGUGGGGAAUAACCAUGAAAUUCCUGAGAGUAGUAAAAUGCUAACGUUCACAACAAACUUAUGUUUAAAGAGUGUAUAAGUGGCACCAUAAUUUCUGCACAUGGAAAAAUACUGAUAAGCUAUUUAAGGUACCUAAGAUUUCAGAAAUUAUCACAAAGAUAGGUAGCAUGUAAGGACAAUAAAAUUCACUUAUUUCUUUAUGAAGUAAAACCC